GACGAACGCUGGCGGCGCGCUUAACACAUGCAAGUCGAACGGAAAGGCCUGCUUUCCCUUGUGGAUUGCGGGUACUCGAGUGGCGAACGGGUGAGUAACACGUGAGUGAUCUGCCCCCAACUUGGGUAUAAGCCUGGGAAACUGGGUCUAAUUCCCGAUAGGACUGCAGGGUGGUGCCUGUGGUGGAAAACGAUUUUCUAGUGGUUGGGGAUGAGCUCGCGGCCUAUCAGCUUGUUGGUGGGGUAAUGGCCUACCAAGGCGGCGACGGGUAGCCGGCCUGAGAGGGUGGACGGCCACAUUGAGACUGAGAUACGGCCCAGACUCCUACGGGAGGCAGCAGUGGGGAAUAUUGCACAAUGGGCGGAAGCCUGAUGCAGCGACGCCGCGUGGGGGAUGACGGCCUUCGGGUUGUAAACUCCCUUCGACCGAGAGGAAGCCACCUGGUUGGAAGGGUGGUGACGGUAGUGGUAGAAGAAGCACCGGCUAACUACGUG
RNAcentral lists this ribosomal RNA (494 nucleotides) under uncultured bacterium. Its description in RNAcentral is "partial 16S ribosomal RNA". It matches the Rfam family "Bacterial small subunit ribosomal RNA", at positions 28 to 507 of the family's 1533-position model. The record is from RNAcentral.